RNAcentral lists this ribosomal RNA (492 nucleotides) under uncultured bacterium. RNAcentral's name for it is "partial 16S ribosomal RNA". It matches the Rfam family "Bacterial small subunit ribosomal RNA", at positions 29 to 507 of the family's 1533-position model. The record is from RNAcentral.
AGUGGACGCUGGCGGUAGGCCUAACACAUGCAAGUCGAACGGCAGCACAGUAAGAGCUUGCUCUUACGGGUGGCGAGUGGCGGACGGGUGAGGAAUACAUCGGAAUCUACUUUUUCGUGGGGGAUAACGUAGGGAAACUUACGCUAAUACCGCAUACGACCUACGGGUGAAAGCAGGGGAUCUUCGGACCUUGCGCGAUUGAAUGAGCCGAUGUCGGAUUAGCUAGUUGGCGGGGUAAAGGCCCACCAGGGCGACGAUCCGUAGCUGGUCUGAGAGGAUGAUCAGCCACACUGGAACUGAGACACGGUCCAGACUCCUACGGGAGGCAGCAGUGGGGAAUAUUGGACAAUGGGCGCAAGCCUGAUCCAGCCAUACCGCGUGGGUGAAGAAGGCCUUCGGGUUGUAAAGCCCUUUUGUUGGGAAAGAAAAGCAGCAGGUUAAUACCCCGCUGUUCUGACGGUACCCAAAGAAUAAGCACCGGCUAACUUCGUG